This 318-nucleotide ribosomal RNA is filed under the name uncultured Veillonellaceae bacterium. Its description in RNAcentral is "partial 16S ribosomal RNA". Lineage: Bacteria; Bacillati; Bacillota; Negativicutes; Veillonellales; Veillonellaceae. The record is from RNAcentral.
GGAGUAUGGACCGUGUCUCAGUUCCAUUGUGGCCGUUCAUCCUCUCAGACCGGCUACCGAUCGUCGGCUUGGUAGUCUCUUACACUACCAACUACCUAAUCGGACGCAGGCUCCUCGCAAAGCGAUAAAUCUUUAGUACAAGCUCCAUGCGAAGUUUGUACAACAUCCGGUAUUAGCGUCCCUUUCGGAACGUUGUCCCCGACUUUGCGGCAGAUUACCUGCGCAUUACUCACCCGUUUGCCACUGGAUCUCUCAAAAGCAAGCUUCUAAUCAAUCCCGCUCGACUUGCAUGUAUUAGGCACGCCGCCAGCGUUCAUC